CUGCAGGCUGCAACUCGCCUGCACGAAGUCGGAAUUGCUAGUAAUCGUAGGUCAGCAUACUACGGUGAAUACGUUCCCGGGCCUUGUACACACCGCCCGUCAAACCAUGAGAGUUGGCAACACCCGAAGUCGGUAGUCUAACCGCAAGGAGGACGCCGCCGAAGGGUGGGGGUUGAUGAUUAGGGUUAAGUCGUAACAAGGUAAC
This 205-nucleotide ribosomal RNA is filed under the name uncultured bacterium. RNAcentral describes it as "partial 16S ribosomal RNA". It matches the Rfam family "Bacterial small subunit ribosomal RNA", at positions 1298 to 1500 of the family's 1533-position model. The record is from RNAcentral.